AAGCACGAAGGGACAGAUUUCUUUACGUCAUCAUUAUGUGUGUGUGUAAUAUGUUUAGACAAAAGCAACCCCAAAUUCACAAUUUAGAGAAACAAGACUUUGUUAAAUUUUGUGCUGUGCCUAAGGCAGCAAAUACCAAUAUGUGUAAAUUAAAAUUAGAUGCAGUAAUAGGGAUUGGCUCAUCCAACAGUAACAGAAAGGAUUAUUCAAGCUUGACUAUGUGCUAAAUAGCAUUUUUUUCAUUUUUCUUUUUCCCAUAAAUAGGUGUUAUGAAUGGUUAUAGCUGAACACACAACAUAAGCCUUUUUAAAAUUCAGCAAUGUAUGAUUAUUAAUUUUCCAUAUCAUUGAAUAUACUUUCACACUGCAGUUCUUAAAGAUUGAAAAGUAUUUUAUCAUUUCAUUUUACUCAGUAAAUUCCUUGUAAUGUUAGACACUUAUGUUAGUUCCAAUUUUUCACUCACAAAUAAUGCUUCAGUGAUAUACUUCCAUCUUUCUCACUUUUCUGGUCAUUUCCUUAGGAGAAAUUCCUGGGUGUAAAGUGGCUGGAUCAUACAUUUAAGAUCAUAAGAUCUUAAAUGCUGUGUGUGCUGCCGGGGCUGUCAUAACAAAAUAUUAUGCACCAAAUAAAACAAUGCACCAAAAGCACAUGUUCCAAGGAGUAGUCAUAUUGAGCAUUUGUCUCCUAGCAUCCAUCAGGUUACAAGUCAAUUGCUCCCAGAAUUCCUACUGGUCAGAUACUCUGUAUUUUCUGUGCCUUGUUGAGGAUCCCUCAAAUUAUCAUAUUCCUGAAUUUUGUGAGCAAGGCAGUGUCACCACCAUUUUCAGGACUUUGGAAAUACCUUCAGAAUAUGGGAAUGGAAGAGAUUUUGAAAUGUCUCUGAACAAAACACAAUUAGUUUAUAAAUUGAUGUCCAGAACUUCCAGAUGACGAUUGUUCCUCCUACCUUUUUGGACUCAGCCAGUGGGACCCAGAGCUUGAGAAACAAGUAAAAAUUUACAGACUCUUCUUCUUCUGGACUUCUCAUUUUCAUCCUGCUACCACUAUUAACUUUCGUGCAUACAGUGGGCUGGACUUAUAAGAAAGGAUUAUAUUUUGCAUUGACCUUAAGCAUCAUUGGGUUUGGUGACUAUGUAUUAGGUAGGUCAACUGAUAUUAAUCAUAGAAUUUUAUUAU
RNAcentral lists this long non-coding RNA (1176 nucleotides) under Homo sapiens (human). RNAcentral's name for it is "HSALNT0377338". Lineage: Eukaryota; Metazoa; Chordata; Mammalia; Primates; Hominidae. The record is from RNAcentral.